Molecule: unclassified non-coding RNA, 604 nt
Filed under: Hevea brasiliensis (rubber tree)
Lineage: Eukaryota; Viridiplantae; Streptophyta; Magnoliopsida; Malpighiales; Euphorbiaceae
Source: RNAcentral
AUAAAAGUGCUUGUUAUUCUUUGAAAAAAUGUAAUUGCUUGUACUGCAAAUAGGACAAAAUGAAUUUGACAAUUGAAAAUUAUUGAGGGACCAUUUAUGGCACAAAGCCACCAACUGGCUCCAGGCGUUCAGGUUGAAGAACCACGGAGUCAUGAACUUUCUCCUAACUUUUUUCCUGUUAAAAGAAUUUGUAUAAAAGCAAAAACUAAAUAGAGGAUCCUAACAAUAAUGAGAAACAACUAUGACAAAUUAUAAAAAGGAAUCUUACAGUGCAUCUGCACAGUGUCCCUCAUUAGUUCUACAAAACAAAAGCUCUGUACAACAUUGACUUCACAGUUGAUGACAAAACUGAGCUUCAACCAUGCUUCUAGACCUUUAUUUGGAACCCUGCAAAUGUCCUGAAAUAUCCUCUCAUGCCUCCUUAGGCGCUUUAAUUAAAAUUGUAAUCAUGCACUCAGUCCAAAUCUAUUUGCCUAGUGUUGCAUUGCAUGUACUGCCACUCUUUAUACCACCUCCUUGUUCUGCCGGAUUUAACAAAGAAACUGGUGCAUAAAAGUGCUCUGAGCUAAAAAUUUACAAAUAAUUAGGGAUUAUGACAUGGAAU